UCUAGGCCCGAUCUCCCAACCCUGUGUUUACUCAACCUUUUGUUGCUUCGGCGAGCCCGUCCCCCAAAGGGACCGCCGGAGGACCGUCUACACGUCCUCUGGCCCGUGCUCGCCGACGGCCCCAAUCCAAAACCCAUGAACCAAACUUGAAUUGACUGAGUACCACAUUUAAUCAAAACAAAACUUUCAACAACGGAUCUCUUGGUUCUGGCAUCGAUGAAGAACGCAGCGAAAUGCGAUAAGUAAUGCGAAUUGCAGAAUUCCAGUGAGUCAUCGAAUCUUUGAACGCACAUUGCGCCCUUUGGCAUUCCGAAGGGCAUGCCUGUUCGAGCGUCAUUAUCACCUCUCAAGCCCCCUGGGUUUGGCCUUGGACGGCUGGUCGGGCGACGCCCGACCCCUCCUAAAGACAACGACGGCGGCUUUGUCUGACCCCCGGUACACUGAGCUUCUUAACCGAGCACGUGCCGGAACGAGGGUCGGCGGGCCACGGUCUUCUCCCCUCACGGGGAAAUUUUCUCAGGUUGACCUCGGAUCAGGUAGGGAUACCCGCUGAACUUAAGCAUAUC
This 566-nucleotide small RNA is filed under the name Rhinocladiella atrovirens. RNAcentral describes it as "eukaryotic LSU rRNA". The stretch from base 182 to 336 matches the Rfam family "5.8S ribosomal RNA". Lineage: Eukaryota; Fungi; Ascomycota; Eurotiomycetes; Chaetothyriales; Herpotrichiellaceae. The record is from RNAcentral.